This is a small nucleolar RNA of Myxocyprinus asiaticus (Chinese sucker), 215 nucleotides long. RefSeq annotates it as small nucleolar RNA U3. The transcript has a single exon. The record is from RefSeq and is a predicted model, not a curated record. NCBI's taxonomy places the organism in Eukaryota, Metazoa, Chordata, Actinopteri, Cypriniformes, Catostomidae.
AAGAUCAUACUUUCAGGGAUCAUUUCUAUAGUGUUUAACUAGGAAAUGUGUUUUGAAAGUCGUGAGUCUUCUUAUCCACGAUGAUGAGUUUUGAUAUUCUUUUCUGAGCGUGAAUCGGUCACAAUGUAAUGAUUUUGUUCAUAUACGCUGUGUCAUUGAAGAACGUUCUUCAUCACAUUAAGUGGUGUAGAAGAAAAGAAUAUGACCAGAGUGGU